CUGUGAGCUCGAUGAGUAGGGCGGGACACGUGGUAUCCUGUCUGAAUAUGGGGGGACCAUCCUCCAAGGCUAAAUACUCCUGACUGACCGAUAGUGAACCAGUACCGUGAGGGAAAGGCGAAAAGAACCCCGGCGAGGGGAGUGAAAAAGAACCUGAAACCGUGUACGUACAAGCAGUGGGAGCCUCUUAAUGGGGUGACUGCGUACCUUUUGUAUAAUGGGUCAGCGACUUAUAUUCUGUAGCAAGGUUAACCGAAUAGGGGAGCCGAAGGGAAACCGAGUCUUAACUGGGCGUUAAGUUGCAGGGUAUAGACCCGAAACCCGGUGAUCUAGCCAUGGGCAGGUUGAAGGUUGGGUAACACUAACUGGAGGACCGAACCGACUAAUGUUGAAAAAUUAGCGGAUGACUUGUGGCUGGGGGUGAAAGGCCAAUCAAACCGGGAGAUAGCUGGUUCUCCCCGAAAGCUAUUUAGGUAGCGCCUCGUGAAUUCAUCUCCGGGGGUAGAGCACUGUUUCGGCAAGGGGGUCAUCCCGACUUACCAACCCGAUGCAAACUGCGAAUACCGGAGAAUGUUAUCACGGGAGACACACGGCGGGUGCUAACGUCCGUCGUGAAGAGGGAAACAACCCAGACCGCCAGCUAAGGUCCCAAAGUCAUGGUUAAGUGGGAAACGAUGUGGGAAGGCCCAGACAGCCAGGAUGUUGGCUUAGAAGCAGCCAUCAUUUAAAGAAAGCGUAAUAGCUCACUGGUCGAGUCGGCCUGCGCGGAAGAUGUAACGGGGCUAAACCAUGCACCGAAGCUGCGGCAGCGAC
This 813-nucleotide ribosomal RNA is filed under the name Escherichia coli. RNAcentral's name for it is "bacterial LSU rRNA". It matches the Rfam family "Bacterial large subunit ribosomal RNA", at positions 397 to 1212 of the family's 2925-position model. Lineage: Bacteria; Pseudomonadati; Pseudomonadota; Gammaproteobacteria; Enterobacterales; Enterobacteriaceae. The record is from RNAcentral.